This is an RNA transcript of Pan troglodytes (chimpanzee), 24722 nucleotides long. It is a transcript of the gene named twist family bHLH transcription factor 2, with no coding region annotated. The transcript has 3 exons. Lineage: Eukaryota; Metazoa; Chordata; Mammalia; Primates; Hominidae. The record is from RefSeq and is a predicted model, not a curated record.
CCCGGCCACCGCGGCCAAUCAGCGCGCCGCCCUAGCUCCUGACAACUAUUUAGCAACCCAGCCCGGCUAGAGUUUCCAAAAAAGUUAGAAUAACUUCCUCUCCCGGAGACCUCGGUUUUGCACAAGCCGGCCUUGAAAUCAGAGCCUUUCCAGCAACUCCGAGAGCGUGUGCUCGGCGACCGCGGGCUUGGCCAGCGGCGCGCGCUCGGCGCCCCGGCGCCCCCAGCCCCACGCGCGCCGGGCGGGCGCCAUGGAGGAGGGCUCCAGCUCGCCCGUGUCCCCCGUGGACAGCCUGGGCACCAGCGAGGAGGAGCUCGAGAGGCAGCCCAAGCGCUUCGGCCGGAAGCGGCGCUACAGCAAGAAGUCGAGCGAAGAUGGCAGCCCGACCCCGGGCAAGCGCGGCAAGAAGGGCAGCCCCAGCGCGCAGUCCUUCGAGGAGCUGCAGAGCCAGCGCAUCCUGGCCAACGUGCGCGAGCGCCAGCGCACCCAGUCGCUCAACGAGGCCUUCGCGGCGCUGCGCAAGAUCAUCCCCACGCUGCCCUCUGACAAGCUGAGCAAGAUCCAGACGCUCAAGCUGGCCGCCAGGUACAUAGACUUCCUCUACCAGGUCCUGCAGAGCGACGAGAUGGACAAUAAGAUGACCAGCUGCAGCUACGUGGCCCACGAGCGCCUCAGCUACGCCUUCUCCGUGUGGCGCAUGGAGGGCGCGUGGUCCAUGUCCGCCUCCCACUAGCGCCGCGCCACCCACCUCCGGACCGGCGCGCCAGGAGGAGAUUCUGAAUGAUGCUGCCAUUGCCAGACCUUCUGCUACCAAACAGAGCGAAGAGGAAGAGGGGGCAGUGUUUGGUCAAGACAGCCCACGCAACGUUGGCGGGAGUGAGCACAUUAGCAAUGGCUAAGAACACGCUUGAAUCAUUUGUAACCACCCAGGACAGAGAUGCCACAAGAGGACUUUGGGGAAAGGCGAAUCCACUCAUACAUCUUGGAGUUGUUUUUUCAAGUUCAGAAAAUGAACCUUCACCAAGGUCUUGGACCAUGAAGCAGAGACUCUGGUGCUGACUCUAUCAUUUGAGCUCCUAAGGGUACUCAUGCCCAGUGGAGCGUGCACACCAGCAACACCGCCAACACCAUCUCGGUGUCCCACCCCUUAGAGGAGGAAGAGGAUACAGAGGGGCGCCCAGUAAUAACCCUCAUUUCCUCUCUUCCACCCCACCACAUCAUCUUAAUAAAACAUGAAGGUAACUGAAUGAGUACGACUCCCUCAUUAUCAAUUUAAUCCUGUGUCUCUGUUGAUGUAGGUCAGUUAAGCUUUUUCAUGGGCUCAUUCAGUAUCUCGCUCUCUCUGUCUCUUUCCCCAUGAGACUUACACUCUUCCGGCCAGAUUCUGGUGCCCUGGGCAUGUUUAGGAAUCAAAUCCUGGCAUUCGGCUGAAAGUAAUGCAAUUAAAAUAUCAGUUUCUCAAAUGCCAUCUACAAAUUACUUUUUUGUUUGUUUUAGACAAUCCUUUGUUUUAAAACCCUUGCUUUGGCACUGGAGGCAGACUUGGUGGUCCUCUGGAAAGUUGACUCUCUCCCUUCACACUCCUCAGAGCCCCUGUGGUUAGGCAGGGCCAUAGGACUAGUUCCAGCCAAUGAGCUUUGGGAGGAAGCCUCGGCGCAGCUUCCAGGCUAAAGUUCAGAAGAAGCUGUGUGCAGGACGUCAGGUCUCUUCUGCUGCCCCAAGUGCCUGAAGAGGCCGCAGGUUCUCAAGACCGUGGAGGCUCUACCAGCCUGAGUCCCUUCGUGACUGCGUGGAGCAGAGUCCCUGCCAACCUGAAUGAGCAAGAAGCAAAUGACUGCUGCAUGAACCUCCUGAGAUUCAGGGGCUUCUUUGUUGCAGCGUGAAGCCUAACUUGUUCUGCCUGAGACAGCACUGACAUGAGCAGGAAAACCAUCUCAUAACCCACGGCCGCCUCUCGUGUUGUCCUGAAAGCCUUAUGCAGGCAGACUUUGCGUGUGAAACGAGUGGGCCAUUUAAAAUUCAUGUGAGAGGAGCUCAGUUCCGAAAGACACUUUUCACUCAAGUUUUUUACAAAUCACAAAAUGUUCCCAAGGUGUAACCAUAGCUUCAUUUGUUAUUUACUAAAUGUGGCUCUGUAUGCCAGAUUUCUUUAAAGUAACUCAAAUGUUAGGAUGUUGAGAGAUGUAACCAUUUUGCACUUUGCCUAAGCAUUAUUUGAAUUCUUAUCUUUGGCUCAAUGUCUUCUGCCCUGUUUUCAGAGUCCUGUCUCCAUUUCAGGUUUUGUUGAAGUGUUCUUCCCUCUACUCACUUUCAUCCUUCUUGUUUGAUUGCAGGGCCGUGCUUUGUUUUAAAGCAGAUUCAACCUGAAUUCUUUAAAACUGCACAGAACAUCUGCAUCACAUCUAUUUAUUGACAAAGCUUGAUUAAAGACAACCUGGGAGGGAGGUGGAUUUCUGGACCAAGGAUUGAAAGUAGAUGGCUGGAUUCCCUUAUAAACAUCGACUUUGACACCACUCUGUAUAUUCAUGGGGUCUGUAUUAGAAAAAGAAAUUACUCAAGGAUGUUGAGAUGAAGUUUAAGUGGUAAUUACAUGCAUUAAAAAUGGCUAUUUAAGGGAAGGAUGAUUCCCACGUAAGGAGUGUAAGAAGUCGUAGCCCCUGAUUUAGUCAGAAAUAUUGUAGCAAGCAUUUGGAGACUUCAGUUCACUAUGCAGCUUGCAUAAUAAUGGCGAAGUCCUGUUCAGGAUCCCUAGAUCUCAGCUCUGCCAUAUUUCAACCAAAAUCAGUCAUUUCUGGCUUUCAAACUCAGGCACAUUGUUGCAACUCAUGAAGAAGUAAAUGUGAAUAUUUGGAAAAAUACACAGCUAUGCAUGUCACACGUGCAUAUGAGAUUCCCACCAAUGACUGUCCAGGCUGAUUCUAGCAGAGAGGAGGAGACUGGAGAUGUUCUUUGACACGCAAAUGGUUGUAAAUGUUCUCUUAAAAAAAUUCCAGUGUCAUCCUUGGGUCUGUCCUGGUCACAUAUUCCCAGGGUGGCAGCAGGCAUCAUAGGGCAGGAAGUGGCCAUCCCUGGAGCCCUGGAUCCCACAGAGGACUCCUGGAGGCAAUCUUAGAAGUCCAGCCCAAAAGAAGAGCCAGGUUUGAUUGGACUGUCAUUCAGUUCCCCGAAUUACACUGAAUUCUGAAUCGUGGACUGGGUAGGAACAAUGUGAGUGUAAAAUCUCCACCCUCAAACCAUGAAUUCAGUAAAUCAUGACUCGGGCAAACUUGGGACAAGGGUGGCCCUCCUUAGAGAAGCAGUGUGUGUAUAUGUGUAUCUGCAUGUAUAUAUGGUACAUAUAUUUAUAUAUACACACAUAUAUAUACACAUAGACGUGUGUACCAUAUGUACAUAGACUGUAGAUGGUGGGUGUGUAUAAAUAUGUGUACACCAGAUAUAUAAAUAUCAAAGACCCUAAAGCCACUGCCAGCCUGCUCUUCCAGAGCCCAAACUGUCCCCCACCCAUCCCUGUGUUUCUUGGGUCCAGAGCAGAGCUCCGUGCUCACUUUGCGCAUGAUAGAUAUUUGUUGUGGAGUUGUCUCAUCUCAAAGAAAAUUAUAUUUGUAUUUAUUCCUUCAUGGUUACCUGAGUUAUCUAAGCUGCAGUGAAUAGUCCUCUACGGCCCCACUGCAGUCGUAACAUGGAGUAGGAUUCCACCCCUCACAGGCUGGUGGCCACAUUUGUAAAUGACUGCUCUGAUGCUCUGAUACUCAGUGCGUUCAUUACAGAUUUCUUAAUAUUAAGUGAGCACCUGCUACGUGUUCUCCCACUUGCAGGGCAGGUAGUACCAGCCCAUUUUAUAGAUGAGAAAUGGAUUGCCAAGGAUGAUAUAUAAGUGUAAGAACCCACAUGUGGGCGAGGGUGCCCGGCUGGCUGGAGAGAAGAGCUGCCUGGGUGGAGGCUGCCCAGCCUGGCCUGUGCCUUCACAGAGGUGCCAGGGAGUGCAAAUGGGCCAGGGGGAGCCUGCUCCCAGGGCUUAGUUUUCAAGGACAGCUGCGUGGAGGAUGCGUUUUUAAAGACAUCCCUGGAGAGCAAGGUUCACCUGGGGCAGUGGAGCAUCUGGAGCAAAGGCCUGCAUUGGCCUCUGCACAUGGCCAGGGAGGUGACAACACCAGGGAUGCCACACAGCCAGGAGCCUGCUGGGCUGGGGUCAGCCAGGCCACCUGCCAUGCUUGUGGCCACUCCAGCCUGUAUCCCCACAGACGCUGACCGCUGCUCUGUGCAGGACCGGCACAGUGAGAGCACACCCCGGCCUGCGCAGGGCAGGCACCCUCCAGAGCCUGGGUGAAAGUCCGGCACCUCCCCAUCAGAUCCUCACUUAGGAGACGGCCACUGAGAGCCCGUGAUUGCACAAGCCUUGUAAAAAAGAGGGAACGCAUUCUAAAGCCACACGAUCCAGGUGAUCCUUCCCCACUUAGGGUUUUUGUUCCAGAGGUAUGACCAGAAAUGUGUGUGCAUGUGUGGCCAACUCUCAUUCAUGUCAUUUUCUAGUUCUGGAAAAAAAUUCACUGUUUAGGAAAAUAUAGAAUAUUCAAAAACACAUUGAAAAUAAAAUCAAAUGCCAUAAGACUUGUUGGAGCAUGCUACAGUUUAUAAACGGGGUUUUAUUGCAGGAAUGCCGAAUUUUUAAAAAUUGAGUAAUCACGACUAUAUUUCUGUAUCUCUUUACUUGACCCUUGAGGCUGCGAGUCUUCUGGGGCAGGAGGAUUAGUCUCUAAGCUCUCGCAUCAAAGACAGCCUGAGAAGGCUCUGAGGGAUCUGUUCUCCCAGGGUCUGCCCUUCCCAGAUUGAAAUCGUUCUGCCCACUGUCAUCACAAACAGCACUGAGACACUCGACUCCUUAAAGUUCUCAGAUGCCACGGUGUAGUCUCACCUGCACCCCGGGACCUUGCCAGCUAUUUGUGGGCUGAUAAGAAUCCGUGCACUUUCACUCCUGUUCUCGGAUCCCCCGAGGUUCGGCGUGGUCCAGCUCUCAGUUCUGCAGUUCACUCACCACUUUUAGACGGAGGACGUCGAUUAGAUUGUGGAUCAUGACAUUCGCAGUCUGAUCUCAAAAAUGAAAUGUCAGGAAUUGCAGCCUUUUGUUAGAGUCUGAUGCAGGAGAUCUCGAACACGUUUUCCAGAGCCGUCCCCAGCUCCAGGUGCUCUUAGAUCAGUGAGGCCACCUUGACCCUAUCGGGAGCAUUCGGACUCCUGGUAAACCUCUCUCAGUGGACAGCAGAGCUGUGCUUGUCAACGGCCUUCGGGCCCAGCGCCCUCACUGUGCCCAGUGGGGAUAUCACUGGUCAUGGCUGAUGACUGGCCGAGCACCUGUGUGUCUCCUCAAAAGGAACCUGGGGCUUGGCCGGCAUGGCCUAUUCCUUGUGCUGGUCUGCAUUUCGGCCUGGACUUCUGUGUCUCUGUGUGCUGUCCUGAGGCCUGCGGGCUCCCAGGUGUCUGUGUUCCAGUGUAGGGGGAGCUGGAGGGUGAGAGGGUCUGGCAAACGUCCUUCCCCUGGCAGAUCUAGGAGGCAUGUGAACAGGGGGACGGUUUACCCCAGGAGGAGGCCGAGGUCCUGAAAGGCAGGUGGGGGCCUUGAGACAAGAAAGCGAGAAGGUUCGAGGGUCAUCCUUGGCUGGCUGACAGCACCCUCACUCUGGGAGCUGGAAGCUGGGAAGGCAGAGGCGUGCACAUUUUCCAGGCUUGAGUCCAAAAACCCCGCUAUUCUCCGUGUCUCUGCUGCCUCACUGCCUUCCUCUGUUUGCCCCUAGAGACCCAAGCGCUGGGUCUGCGGAGUCCGCAGGGAUGUCUUUCUGUGUGAAUGAGCAGCCACUGCGUGUGGGAGGAUUGGGCUAUGUAGGACAAGCUGUAUUUGUGCACCUGCGCAAGGCGGGACCACUGAAAUUUAGCCUUGGAGUUCGUUCACGGAGCCGCUGACCACUUAUCCCUUCCUCUUCAGCAUGUGCUUGCUGCUGAGCCAUGCGGGUUCUGUGUUCUCUGUUAUGUGCCGGUGUGUGGACUGGAACCCGCCUGCAGCAGCCACUCCCACCUGCCCUCGGGACCCUGACUGUACAUGGGCAGAGCCAGGCAACCACCGGAAGGGUGAGUCGUUCCCCAGGACUCAGCGGGCACCUCACCGCGGAACGCAGACACCUGAGAGCCCGCAAGCCUCAGGACAGAGAGAAACAGAGGUCCAGGUGGAAAUGCGGAGGCGGCACGAGGAGGGGGCCCUGCCUGGGUGCAUGUGCGCUGCACCACGUGUUACCCGUGAGGAGAAGAUACACAGGUGCUCCGCCGAUCACCAGCCAGGACCUUCCCCAGUCGCCUGUCCAGCCUGGGCUGUUCACUCAUCCUGUCCUGCCCCUGAAAUUUACUUUUUCCCUCUAAUAUGGUUUUUUGUUUGUUUUGUUUGAGAUGGAAUCUUGCUCUGUCGCCCAGGCUGGAGUGCAGUGGCGUGAUCUCGGCUCACUGCAACCUCCGCCUCCCAGAUUCAAGCAAUUCUCCUGCCUCAGCCCCCCGAGUAGCUAGGACUACAGGCGACCACCACCACGCCUGGCUAAUUUUUUGUAUUUUAGUAGAGACGGGAUUUCACCAUGUUGCCCAGGCUGGUCUUGAAUUCCUGAAAUCAGGGAAUCUGCCUGCCUCAGCCUCCCAAAGUGCUAGGAUUACAGGUGUGAGCCGCCGCACCCGGCCUUCUAAUAUGUUUUUUUCAAUCACCACCACAGGCCUCUACUAGCUGAUUUUACCUUAACUGAGGCAAAGUCUUCAACACUUAGUGUGUGCUAGUUGAUUUCUUAAUAUGAUGUGUUUCUCAACAGAGAUCAGUUUUAUUCAUGUGGUGCAGAAGUUUGAGAAUCUGAAAUGGGCUAAAAGUAACUGAGUCCAGAGCUUGGGAAGCAAAAGGCCUGUCCCUGUUGCAGAAUGGUCUGGUUAACCACGCCCCCAACUGCUCCGCCAGAAACUCCAACUCUGCAGGCCUAAAAGCACCUCUGCCACACCUUCAGCUGAAAUCUGAGUUCCCAGGGAUUUGUGGGACCUGACAUUGAAUUAUAGGAGGAUUCUUCCCAUUGCUUAGGUUUUUGCAUUCUUCUGAAUAUAGGUGAAUAGAUGCAAAAAAUUUCAAAAAUAGCUUAUUUUAUCAGAGGCAUUUGAAAAAAAGACUGCCCAAUAAAACAUUUAAGUAGAGUUACUCUUGUACACAGUUUCGCAUUUUAAAAACGGCCUAUUUUUUCAAGAUUAAUUUGAAGGACUAAAAGCUGGCCCUAGUUACAGAUAUGGCUUAUGGUCAGCGUUGUUUAAUUAUUCAGAACAGUUUUAUAUCCCCCAGUUAAAAAUUGUUCAAGGGAGACAGUCCCAGAAUCAUUCUGCCACACUUUCCAGGCCCCGCACUCCCCAGAAGCACAGCCUGUGCCUCUCCACUCAGAAAACAGGCCCCGGAGCCUGGACACCUGGGCUUAAUUCCCAGGGCUUUGUUCCUCCGCUCUCUGAGCAGAGUGGCUUCCUGCCUCUCAAAGCCUCCGUGUGCUGAGGCUCAGAACCUGGAACACGGGCGCACUGAUUGCAUGAGAUGGUUGAGAGUCUUCAGCCGAAUCCCAGACAUACAGUGUGAGGCCCGGCACUCAGGAAGCGCUGAUCGCCGGCCGCCAUUGUUCGCAGCUUCUGGCACUUUCGCUGUCCCACCAAAUGUGUGGAAGACCAUUCCCAAGGAGCGCCGACCCCCUGGCCUCCGCAGCAGCCUGCACCCGGCUGAGCCUGCUCUUCUGAAGUCCUGGACCCUGGUGACCUUUCCGACGCCCGGUCCUCCUGCUAGCAGGGGGUGGUGCUCACCAGCCCUCCCUUGACACCCCCUGGUGUCAGUUCUCCCCGGCCUUGCCUCUCCUACCACAUGCCUCCUUCCCAGCCUGUCCCUCCGCUUGCCCCUAAAUAUCUGCCUCCUCCAGUUCUGCCAUGGACGGAGGUGUAGACCAGGAAUCUGAGCCCAUCUUUGGAAUCCAGAGGCCUGGGUUCAAAUCCUAGCAAAGUAAGCAUCUCAACCUCUGUGCCGAUUCCUCCUCUCUCCAAAGGGAGAAUAAAGUUGGCCUCAGUCUGGAGAAUCUGCCUCUGAAGCCCCCACCCUCUUCUGGGGUUCCCAGCAUGUCCCUUUGCUGAGUGAACUGCCCUUCAGGGUGUCCUGAGGACUCCAGCAGCUCCACGUGGCUGACACGGGUCUUGUUGCCCCCGAGAUGACUCCUCUCUAGAUCUGAGUCUAGCUUCUGGGUCGGGAUGCACCCAGCCACCCAAGCUGGGCCCCUGAGCGGCCCCUCGCCACCCCCACACUCAGCAGGUCACCGUGUCUGGUGGGUGGCCCCUUGCCACCUGCACAGCUGCUGUCUCCAUGUGGUCCUGGCCUCCCUCUGGGCCACUGGGGGAGCCGCCCUGCCCAGGCCCCACCUCGGGGUCUGUCCCCUGCCAGCCAGAGCUACCUCUGACAGAGAGAUCUGAUGGUGUCUGUGGCCCCCCAAACCUUUCCUGGCCUCCUUGUCGCCUUGGGGAGUCCCACCAAUUCCUGCCUCCUCCCCAGAGUCAAUGCUGUCUUUACCUCCAGAUCCCUCUCCCCACCUUCCUGGCUGUGCCUCCCAUCUCUGCCUGUGCCCACGAGGCCCUUCCACCCCUCUCAACUGGGACUGAUCUCCUUGAAGACCUGGCUGCAAUCCCGAAUUCUGUGACAAGCUCUCCAAACCCUCAGAAAUAUAACUGUCACCUUCCCUGUAUGUUUAUUAUGGACCUUUUAAUCUCUGUAUUAUAAUAAUACAUUUGCAGUCAUCACCUAUAUUUAUAUUUCAUAGCAAGAUUGUUGCAGACCUGAACGUACUUUUAUUGUACUUUUAUUAUUACAUUUUUGUGAUAGUGAUUUGUUCUGCUGCUUGUCUCCCCAAAUGAACUGUGAGCCAGGUGAGGCACGUGCCUGCGUCAGGCAGAGCGCCCUACACCGGCAGCCCUUCUGUCCAUAUUUUCGUUCGCUGCUGCUGCUGUUGCCGCUGCUGCCACUGCCGCUGCCACUGAGAAGGCUGUGUCUUCAGAUAGUCAUGUGUUCUGUCAAAAGACAUUUGUAAAGUUCACGCCCCUGGUUUGGACCAGUGUGUCAGUGCUGUGGAUACAAAAGGUAUUUCCAGCCCAGGGCUUAGCUGACUUGCGUUCUGGGGGAGAUUCUGUACCCACUUGGUGACUUGGGAUGUCAGGCCCUUCCUCACCUUCCUGUGGCCCCGUUCUCUCCGUGUCUGAAAAGACACUGCUUGGCCAGAUGGCCCCCAGAGGGGCCUCCAGCUCCACCAGCUGGAAACGGGGCCCACAGGGCGGUUCGUGUUCCAUCAUCUUCCACUCAUGGGUUUUAUUUGGAGACUGAAUUUGGUGGCAUCUGGAGAAGUUGUGACUCACGGGUUGAAGGGGUUCCUGGACUUGCAGGCCCCAGGUACUGGGAGCAGUGGGAUGCUCUCCUGCCAUCUGGCUGCUCGUGGCUGGCCAGCCCUCGCUGUCUCUGAAAGUUGGGAGGGGUCCCUUUGCAGUGCUCCCAGGACACUCAUCGUGGGGAAAUGGGAAGGUCUCACAGAGAGGAAGAGGGUGGGGCAGAUCCUGAGGGACCGGUCAGACCCUGCGGCCUCAGCCCCGGCAGAGCCCGCCCUGGAGAGCCUGGGGGUUGCCAGGUGGACAGGGAGCGGCUCUGCAGGGUGGCCUCUCCGGCAGUGAUGCUGGGGGCUCCAAGCAGGAAGGAGCCGGCCUGGUCCGCUGCAGACAAGCUCGCCCUCUCCCCUGGUUUCCUUGGGCUGACUCCUCCUUGCCAGAUAGGCCAUUCCAAGCACAGUCAGCCUGAGUCCCUGAAGCCAAGCCCAAGCUGAGGGAGAGAGACAGCCUGGCUUCCAGCUGGCGUGAAGUCCUCGCUCCCCUGGAGGAGCCAGGCCAGGCCAAUAGCCACCGGGAGCCCCGGCGUUGUAAAUAGGGUCAUUCCCACAUUCCCAGCAGGAUUCCUCCUUCUCAGGCGCAGCAGGCAAGCCAGGGUCAGAGGCAUGAGUCACGGAGGGGGGAGAGAGGGGCGGGGAUCCGGAAGACGGCUCUGCAGUCGCCUGACUGCACCCUGCCUACUGACCCUCCAGACCCUGACGGCGAAUGCCCCAUGUGUGGGGCAUCCAAAAGCAUGCCUGCCGUGCCAUCAAACCAGACAGGGAUGCAGAAAGCACGGGAGACGUCCAUAGCAUGGGGAGCAAACAGGCCACUGUCCCCAGGGCCACCAGGCUGCGCUGGAAUCACAGGCUCCCUGUAGGACCCCAUUUCAAGCCAGUGGUGCUGGAAGUCCCUCUGGAGGCCGCCUGGCCGAGCAGUGUCCUUUCAGAGAUGGAGGGACCUGGGGCACAGAAACGUGGGGUGGGGUGUGACUUAUCCCAAGUCACCAGCUGGCUCCCUAAUAUCAGGCUGCCACCUGACCACGUCCUGAGCCACUUGUCUCAAAAAUCCCCGAGGCCCUGUAAGAGCUCAGAGCAGGCAGCACCUGGUGCAUUUGUCUGACCAGCAGACACCCAUCAGUCCUCUGGGGGUCCUAGGAACUUUGGGGUGUGAGUGGGGGAAUCUCACCCAUGCAGUCAUUCCUGGGAAGGCCUGACUCUCCACAGGGGAAUGGGGCCAGCCGCUACCACACACACACAUGCUCUGGGAUUUUAGUUCUGGCCCAUUUCUUGGAGUACCAUGGGCACGUGGUGGCCUCCUUGUCACUCACCAGCCUGCUGAGAAUCACAGGGCAGAAGCUUCCACCCGGAGCCCACAGACAGAGACAAGAGGGUCCUGCCUGUAACAGUCACUGCUUCCAUUUGGAGAAAGGUAGGCACGCCCCAGGGGGAGGGAGGCACCUGAGUGAAGGAGUGAGGGCAACCUGGCAGAGCCAUUCAGGUGAACGUUGUAAAAAACAAAUUAAUCUCAGAAUUCUAAUUGUUUCUUGAUUCCCAUUUGCUUUCAAGAGAGAACAGAGCCUGCUUUCCACCCCUUUCCUCUUAGCCUCACCAUCAUCCCAUAGAAAUAUUCACCAAAUCCUCCAACGCCCCCUUUGAAAGUCGCUGUCAGGGACGGUAUCCCUGCGUUCCUCCUGCCGCACUUCUCCCUUGGUUGCAGACAUUGAUUCUUAGAUGGUCCUGUGGUGGGACUCAGGGGGGAUGGUAAGCUUUUGCUGUUUCCCUUGUGAUUUUCUGUCCUCCGCGCGCCCCCCUGCCCCUGUGUCCCCCAAGCUUCCAGGGCCUGCUCACAGCUGGAGGAGCCACGGAGGUUGGCCAGGAGGAGGGGAGCCUGACCCCCAAGGACACCUGCCUUUUUACCAAGUGGGACCCCCUUGCCACCUUCCCCCUACAGCACCCAGCAAGGGUGGCAGGGCAGCUGGCUUCCUGACAUGCCAGGCCCCACCAACCCAGGCCACCCUGGUGCCUGGCUCCCUAGUGAGGAGUGGCUUUUCCUGCUCAGGGCCAGCCUUGUGCUCAGCUGCUCAGCCUCUGAGGUCCCCUGCCCUGCUUAGAGCUUGCAGUGCAGAUGCGGCCUGGAAGGAGGCAUCACACUCUCUACCGUGAAAGCAGCACUCUGCAUUUCCUCCCCCGCCUCUGGACAAGACAUUUGUCAAAAAGACAGUGCACUGGGGAGAAGGCUCUGGGGUGGAGGUGGCCAGCUUCAUGCUGGCACUGCCCAUCCCAGCCCGGGCUGGCAGCAAGCUGGGAGCCUCCCCGGAGCCGUCCAGCCCUUGGUGGCCAAUGGUCUCUUUGAACCCUUACCCAGAUGGAACAAGGAAACUCGUUCAGCAGAGCAGGAGGGACUCUCCCGAGAGUCUCCAUGGGGCCUGCUGCUGGCACCCUGAUGCCUGCCCAUUGGGUGGGUGAUCACUGAGGCAUGGUCCACAGGGCUGGACUCGGCCUGGGUGCACAGCUCUGUCCACUGAGUGUCCUGCCUGCCCCCAGGCCCUCCUGCCUGCCUGAGACUGUCUCAAGAGGGCUGGAGGCUGUGUCAGGACCCUUCAGAGGAACUGCAACUGGCGAACGCGGUCUCAGGGCCCGGGUGCUGCGGGUGGGGCCAGCCCCGAGCAGGGAGCAUCUUGCCUGUAACCAGCUGCCCCGAGCAGGGAGCAUGUUGCCUCUAACCAGCUGUGUGACAUAGUGUGGCCCAGCCUCAGCUGACCCCUCUGAACAGGGCUGAGUUGUCACAGGAGAUGAAUGACAAGGCCGGAUAUGUUCAGCCUCAUCUCUCUGCCCAAAAAACAUCUUAGAUGAACUGGAGAUUUUGUCAAAGUGCAGAUGUUGACUCUGAGGCUCCGAGGCCUGAGACUGCAUCUCUGAAAGCUCCUGGGGAAUGGUGCUGUUGCUGGUCCGGGGACCAACUGGGUAGCAAGAACUUAGAAUGCCCAUGAGGCCAUUGAGGAUGCAAAGAUCGCUUGGGUCUAUUGGAUUGGUACAAAAGGGGAGUUCCCGCCAGCCGCUCCUGAGACACAGCUCAGGGUGGGCGCAAUGUGGGCGAGAGCUCCUUGGGUGCAGCUGCCCCGAGGGGGCUGGCCUUGCUUUCUCCUUCCUCUCCCCUGAGGUGGGGGUGAGUUCUCUGACCACUGUGGGGAGAAGGCACCCAUGUCGGCCCAGCCUUCCAGAUAGUGCCCUCGUGCUAAGGGCUUUGAGGCUUCCGUUGGGGUGGGGGCUGGAUGGGCAAAGUCCUGAAGGGGAGGCCCAGGGAGAAGUUGGCAGAGGGUCCCGGCCCUUGCAUCCUGUGGCCUUUCUGUCUACCCAGGUUCACUCAGGCACAGCUUUGUUAUUUGGAAGCCUGUGGUCAGGCAGCUCCGGCGCCGGCUCCUGGUGGGCCCCUUGGCACCGUGUGGUGGUUGGGCAAUGUGACCGGUGACUGCUCCCCUACAUAGUAUGUGCCUGGGUCAGAAGGUGGGCAGAGGCUGCCGUCUGUGCCCUGCUGCCCUCCGGCGUCUGACCUGGCAUGGCCCAGCAUUACUGGCCUCUUUGCUGUUGGUAUUUACAGCCCUGUCCAUCAUCUAUCCGGUCCUGGCCUCGGCCUGCCAAGCCAUGUGACCGCUGGCCACGGGAGCCACCUGCUUGGUCUGCACGGUCCCCGCAUCCCUAAGGCUUCAGCUGCUGGUUUCUCUCUGCUUUCUUCAUUGUAGUCCCUCUUUCGACAAAUAUUUAGUGAGCACUUAUGAAGUGCCAGGAGCAGUUCUAGACCCAGUUGGGGAAGAAAACAGCUCCUUGCUCUCUUGGGCUCCUGUUCUCAUGGCAACAUGUGUGUUGACCAUAGACCAGGCAAGGCCAAGCCUUUCUGGUGAAGUAGCUCAUUGAGCCCUCACAGCACUGAUGCAGCACGUCCUAUUGUUACCCUCACUUGGGUGUUUUGCAGAAGUGGAAACUGAGAGCUGGACAGGUUAAUCCACUUUCCCAAGGCUGCGCCACAGAGAGAGGCAGCUGGGCUUCAGCCUCAGGCCAGGCUCCAGGGCCCGUCUCAGGGAGAGCUCAGGAAACCAGGCCUUGGAAUUGCACACACCCCUCUCUGUGCCCAUCCCAGCAUGCUCUCACCGUCCCUCCUUUCACAGAUUUCCAAAUGGUAACAUUCUGCAUUCCUGGAAUAAACCCUUCUUGGUCAUCUGGAAUUGGUUCUUUAAAUACCCGACUUGACUUGAUUUGCUAACGUCUUAGGAUUGUUUGCAUUUAGAUUCACAGGCGGCAACGUUCUAGCCUUUGGUUCUGAUGCCGUCAGGACAGGUGUCCAAACCGUGUCAUCUUUUUAUGAAGGAUGCUGGGUAUGGGUGGGAGCAGAGGGUAUAUGGGAAAUCUCUGGACCUUCCUCUUAAUUUUGCUGGGAACCUGAAGUGCUCUAAAAAAAUAAAGUCUUUACAAAGAAAGAAAGAAAGAAAUAUAACUAAAUAAUAAAAUGGGAAGUGGUCCUUCAUCUUUAAAUUCUGGAAUAGUUUAAUAUAGAUGGGAAUUAUCUGUUCAUAGAAAGUUCUAUUUAAUUCUCUUAUAAAACAAGCGGGUUUGUUAUUCUUCGUGGCUUAGAUACAGACCUUUGUAACCUGGUCCACAUGUCUGAUGGCUAUCGAUACAUUUGGGUUUCCUGCUUUUUCUUGGAUGAGUUUGGUAACUCGGACAGCAUGAGAAUUAAGAGUGUGAGUUCACGAAUCCGACUGCCUGGUGUCAGUCUGGCUCCUGCUGUCCUUAUUCAUUGUGUGACUGGGCAGACAGAAGCUUGGAGUGACCGGGGACCCACAGAUGUGCCCGGUGUGGCCAGAAGCUGUAGGGGUUGCACACCCCCUGGACUCCUGCCCCCAGUUGACCGUGGGCCUCUCAAGAUUUUCCUUACAGCCCCUUUCCUUCUCCCCAACAUUCUUAUUUGUUUGUUUUUCACUGGGGGAUUAGUCCAUCAUUUGUUGUCGUACUUGCAGAGAAAGAAGCCCCAGGAAUACCCUUCCUUUGGACAGAAGGCAUUUCUAGUGGAAUUUCCCUGGAGCAGCUGCUGAGCGGUGCACAUUCUGCAGCUGCAUUGCUUCUCUCGCUCUCCCGCAUGGUCCCUGGACUCGCUGGGUAUGGACUUUUGGGGCUGCCCUGCUCUUUCCACCAACACUCUGGACAUUCUGGGAGUGUCACUGAGUAGGGGUGGUGAGCUUGUUUGGAAGCCAGCAUGCAUCUGCUGGUUGUCUAGGUCUGGAAGCCGUAGGAGGUUGCCCUACUCUUAGAGCCCAGAGAUUUCUCCGUGAUUCAGCUGGGUUGCCCCUCCUCUUGUUUUCCUUCCUGGAACUUGGUGUUCCCUUUUAGUCUGAAGAUUAUCCUGAUAAUCUGAAGAUAAUCCUGAACGUGGAGACACGUUCCUCUGCCAUUUUUUCUGAUCGUUUCUGCCCUAUCCUUUCUCCUUCCCCCCGGCUUUUUUUUUUUUUUCGGAGUCUCACUCCAUUGCCCAGGCUGGAGUACAGUGGCAAUCUCAGCUCACUGCAACCUCUGCCUCCCAGGUUCAAGUGUUCUCCUGCCUCAGCCUCUGGAGUAGCUGGGAUUACAGGUACGUGCCAACCAUGCUGGCUAAUUUUUGUAUUUUUAGUAGAGAGAGGGUUUCACCAUGUUGGCCAGGCUGGUCUCAAACUCCUGACCUCAAGUGAUCCACCUGCCUUGGCCUCCCAAAGUGCUGGGAUUCCAGGUGUGAGCCACCGUGCCGGCCUCCUUUGCCUUUUGCUCAGCAUUCUGGGAGACUUCCAGGAGCACUCUCUGAUGUAUUUGUUUUUCUUCAUUUUUAAAUUUUUAAAAACUUCUCCUUCUAUUUGUUUUGUUGUUUCCAGCAGUCCUUGUUUUGUUUCCUAAUGGUUCCUUUUUUUGAAGCAGACAAUUCUGGUUUUCUCCAGGCUCCUCCUCAGUGGGUGAAUUCUGCUGCUCUGAGGCUGGAUCCCUGUGCAGAGGCCUCUGCUAGGCGUUCAGCCUGGAGGUGCCCCCUGAGUGGCCCUCGGGUCCCUGGGGUAUCUCCUUGUCUGUUGUGCACUCACGCCGAUGGGAGGUCUCGCUGACCACGCUGAGCGGUUCCAUACCUCUGGUUGACUCGGGGUGGCUGAGGUGGGUGUCUGAGGGGUCAGGAGGCUGGGUCCAGACUCGGCAGGGGACAGAGAGCCCCCACUGAAGGACCGCGCCCACCAGGCACUCAGGAGAAGAGAGGAGUGGCUUUGUGGGGUGGCCAGGACCCAUCAAGACCCAUGGGGGUGGCUGGCAGCUGGGACUUCUCCAUGUCUGUGAACUCUGCUGUGAUCUCACCCUGGCACGUUCCCUAGCCCUGAGCAUCUGGAAGCCCAGGGUUGAGGGUGUGGUGGGGGAGGGAGAGGAGGUGGGGGUGAGAGCAUUUUUGCAUGAACUGGGGGAUGCCAGGGUCCUGUGGAGGCAAAGCCUCCUCCGCUGUGAUGCCAGGGGCUGAGGAAAGGCAGGGAAAGCUCAGGGUAAUGAAUGUCCUGGACAUCCGCUCCAUGCUGUGGACGAUGGUCACAGCCCACGCUUCUGUGGCCAGAUUCUGACCCCUGAUCCUCAUUUUUGCCCCUCCAGGGUCCCCUGGCAGAACCUCAGGGGUGUGUAAUGGUGUGUGUGUGUGUGCGAGAGAGAGAGAUAUGGGGUAUGUGUGAUGUGGAGUACGUGUGUGUGUGAUGUGUGUGGUAAGGAGUUUGUAUGAAUUGGGGUGUGUGUGAUAUGGGGUAUGUGUGAUAUGGAGUAUGUGUGUGUGAUGUGUAUGUGUGGUGUAGGGGGUGUGUGGUGUUGGGUUUGUGUGAAUUGGAGUGUGUGGUGUAUGUAUGUGUGUAGUGUGGGGUUUGUGUUAAUCAGGGUGUGUGUGUGAUGUGAUAUGUGUGUGAUAUGGGAUGUAUGUGAAUUGGGGUAUGUGUGUGGUGUGAGGUGUGUGUGUGAUGUGGAGUGUGAGUGAUGUAGGUGUGGAUGUAGUAUGGGGUGUGUGUGUGGUGUGUGCAUGUGUGUGCGAUGUGGGGUUGUGUAAUGUGAGUUGUGUGUGUUGUAGUGUGUGUGAUAUGAGUUGUGCAUGAUGUGAGGUGUGUGAUAUGAGGUGUGUGAUGGUGUGUGUGUGUGAUGUGUGUGUGAUGGGUGUGUGUGAUAUGGGGUGUGUGUGAGGUGUGUGUGAUGUGGGGUGUGUGAUGUGGAGUAUGUGUGUGAUGUGGGGUGUGUGUCUAAUGUGAGGUGUGUGUGAUGUAGUGUGUGUGUGAUAUGGGGCAUGUGUGAUGUGGAGUGAGUGUGUGAUGGGUGUGUGUGAUGUGUGUGUGAUGUGGGGUGUGUGUGUGAGGUAUGUGUGUGAUGUAUUGUGUGUGAUGUGGGGUGUGUGAUGUGGGGUGUGUGUGUGAUGUGAGGUGUGUGUGAUGUGAGGUGUGUGUGCGACGUAGUGUGUGUGAUGUGGGGUGUGUGAUGUGAGGUGUGUGUGAUGUGGGGUGUGUGUGAUGUGAGGUGUGUGUGAUGUAGUGUGUGUGUGAUGGGUGUGUGUGAUGGGUAUGUGCAUAAUGUGAGGUGUGUUUGAUGUAGUGUGUGUGUGAUGUGGGGGGUGUGUCUAAUGUGAGGUGUGUGUGUGUGUGAUGUGGGAUGUGUGAUGUGUGUGUGAUCUGAGGUAUGUUUGAGGUAGUGUGUGUGUGAUGGGUGUGUGAUGUGAGGUAUGUUUGAGGUGUGUGUGUGAUGUGGGGUGUGUGAUGUGAGGUAUGUUUGAGGUGUGUGUGCUUGUGAUGUGGGGUGUGAUGUGGGGUGUGUGAUAGGUAUGUUUGAGGUGUGUGUGUGAUGUAGUGUGUGUGAUGUGAGGUAUGUUUGAGGUAGUGUGUGUGUGAUGUGGGGUAUGUGUGUGAUGUGGGGUGUGUGAUGUGGGGUGUGUGAUGUGGGGUGUGUGAUGUGAGGUAUGUUUGAGGUAGUGUGUGUGUGAUGUGAGGUGUGUGUCUAAUGUGAGGUGUGUGUGAUGUGGAGUGUGUGUGAUGGGUAUGUGUGGGAUGGGUGUGUGUCUGUGUGCGUGUUCGUAUGUGUGUGUCUGACUAGAGGAGAUUUCACAUGUGUGCUCACCCCCCACCCUUCUUCCCUGCCAUGCUGGUUCUGACUGUCCAACGGUGUCCAUGGUACUUUGCCCUUCCCUUUCUGUUGUAGAGUCUACCUGCACUCUAAAAAGUGAUCCGUGUCUUCCCUGUGUUCUAGUUGCUUACAAACAUGCUUCUGCCCUGCUAGAUUUCUCUGAUCCAUCUCAGCUUUUUCAACAACUAGCAGCAUUCUUGGCACAUGAUAGAUGCUCAAUUAUGUUGCAGGAAUGGAAGGAAGAAAGGGAGGAAAGAAAGAAGGGAGGAAGGGGGAAGGAAGCGGAAGGAAGGGAGGGAAAAAUGAAUGAAUUGGUGAAAGGAUAAAUGGAUAAAAGGAAGGAAGGAUGGAUAGAUGAAUGGAUGGGUGGAGGGAAUGAAGGACGGGUGGUACAUCAAUGAAUGGAUCAAUGAAGAAAUGGAUGGAAGGAAGGAAGAGAGAAAGAAAAAGAAAGAAGAAAGAAAGAAAAGAAAGGAAGGAAGGAAGAAAGAAGCAGGUGGGUGGGCGGCUGGCUGCGCGGGCAGGUGAGGAGAUGGAUAAAUGGUCGUAGAGUAAAACGCCUUUCCCUUGGCCCACCCUGCCUCCCUCGCCUUUUCCGUAAUGCUUCUGUCCCUUUGUUAGGCCUUGGGGAUAUAGAGUUGAAUGGGGCCUCUCACCUGCUCAUUAGGGCCCCGGUCUGGUGUGGAAGACACAACUGAGGCACUCUCUUGGUCCAGCCACAGCUUUGCAGCUCCACCCAUCCCCCGACUCCUGGGCCAGGCAGGCAGAUACAGGGAGGUAACUGCACGCAGCACGCAUGCACACAGUUCCAGGUGGCCUGUGUAUGCAGGAGGCACUCCCCAGCCCCAGAUGUUUUACAUUUGUUGCAGAGAACACGGCCCAUGUCAGCAGACAUGGCUGGGGUCAGGGUGACAUCAAGGGGGCCAGGCCCGGAGGCUCUCGGUCAAGAAGACUAAUGAACCUGCCGCCCGUUUCUGCCUGAGCCUGGGUCCCCUCGGGCAUGUGAAGCAAACCCUGAAACCCACCACUGGCCAGGGAACGGCCCCUGUCAUUUUUGGCUUUUCAUGGGUGAUACGGUAUUUCCCCUUGGAGGGCUGGUUCAGCUCAUAUAUCAAAAGCUGUGGUAAUUAUUUCCUCCCACUGAGGAAGGCUUCCAUUUAGCUUUCUCUACCCCCCCCCCCUUAUUAAUUAUCUAAUUACAACCACAUUCUCCAAGAGAGAGCAGCCUUUGACUUUCUGCCCAGGACCACUUAAAAAAGGCUUAAAUAUUUGGAGUGCUCUGAACUUUGAAAAAAGUGUGUGUACGUGUGUGUGUGUGUGUGUGUGUGUGGUUUUCCUAUGCAUGGGUUUCAGGGAAAAUAUGUCUUGGCUUUUUCAGACCAUUGCCUUGGUUCAACAAAGGUUCCUGGAGGUCUCUGAGGAUGUAGGCUGCUGGGGUGAAGCCUGGGGCUGGGGGUUGGGAGAGGGCUGGGGGUGAAGGAGCGGAACCACACGUCCCCCCUGCACACUGCUGUGCAACAUCAGACACCCACGCCCACAGGGACACAGACCCACGCACACAGAUGCACACACCCACACAAAAACAUGCACACUGACACUCCCACAGGGACACACACACAGACCCACUCAGGAGGAUGUACAUGCUUACACACACACACUGACACAUGGACCCACUCACGUGGAUGUACACACUUACAAACAUGCACACUAGCACUUCCACGGGAAAACACACGCACUCACAUGGCUUCACACACACACAGACAUACACAUGCAUACUGACACUCCCACAGGGACACACAGACCCACUCAUGGAUGCACAUGCUCACACAGACACACGCAUGCACACUGGCACACACACAGGCCAACUUACACGAUGCACACGCUCACACAAUUUACACAACUUGCACAUGGACACACACACUCUGGACAUUCUUUCAUACACUCACACUCUCACACUAGUGGGCACACUCACAGACACACACACGGGAUGUCACCGAGCACCACGUCACCCGUCCCUCCAGCUUCCACAUCCUCCCCCCAGUGCCUGGGGCCUCCCUGGACCUCCUUCCCUGUGGCAGAAUCCUCACGGUGACCCCUCUCCUGGCAGCCGCCUUGGGGAGCCCAUGCCUGCCUCUGGGCUGACACCCACCCCUCCCACCACGCUCAGCCCCUCUGCGGGAGGAGGGUCUCGUCGCGCUGGUUUGCCCCUUGGCUCAGGGGAGCUCUCCAGUAAUUCUCGCUGAACACUCACCUCCCGCGAGCUCUGCAGGUCAACUGGCUGUUCUCAUGUUUGUGCAAGAGGUGUGGGAGUGAGCACUUACACGGCCAGGCCCUGUGGUGAGCAGUAAAGGCCCCAGGUCUCAGGGCCAGUCUUCAGCGAUCCCUGCUAGAGCUCAGGUCUCCUGGCAGGACAGCAACACAGCCUGGGGGCUGCUGCAGGCUGGCCUGGGUGUGUGGCAGAAGCGGCCCUGAGGCGCGGCGCGGGGCCCACCUGUGUUCGCCACACUCCCGACCAGGUGCUGAGGCCAGUGGCGUGUCCCCUGCCCUGUGGGACCCACUGAGGUGCCCCAAGACCUUGGGCUUAUGACACCACAUCCCUGUGCACCCUGGGUCUCAGACGCUGGCCCCGGCCACCUCUCAGCACCUUCUCUUUGAGCUUGGCAGGCACAGAGGGAGGCGCGGGAUUGGGGUCCCCACCCCGGCUUCCUGGAGGACCUGGACUUUCCUCCUGCCUGUGUCUCCUCCUCCUGCAGGUGGGAACCAGGCUCUGGGUAGCGCCUGAGUGGGUUCUUUCCCCAAAGCGCUCCCGGGACAGCUGGUUGCAGCCCCAGAGCUGCACCAAGCCUGGCACACCCACAGUUUGGCCCACAAGUGCGCUUAGAAGUCACUUGUGUGGCAUGAGGGGACCUUGUGGGGCUGGAAGAAUUGUGUGUCUUGAUCAUAGUGAGGGGUGCAAGAAACAACACGCAUGAUGAAACUGCAGGAAGUACACAUACACCACUCACACACACACACAAACGCACAAUACACACACAAACACACAUAUAAACGCACACAAUACACACACAAAAACACACAAACACUCCACAUACCCACGUACACACAUAAACACACACCACGCGCCACACAAAUAUACCACACACUACACACACCCCCCCCACACUGUACAUACACACCACAUACACACACACCACACAAACACACUACACCCCCCACUUACAAACACACACCACCUACACCACACACAAACACACAUCACACGGCACACAAACAUACCACACACUACACACACACCCCACAUUGUACAUACGCACCACAUACACAAACACAUACCACACAAACACACCACACCCCCACAUACACACACAAACUCACGCCACAUACACCACACACCAUACAAAGAUACCACACACACAGACAUACCACAUACACAUACACAUAGAUACCAUACCGUACACACUACCCACUAUAUACCACAUAUACAUACCCCACACCACACAUACAUACACAUGCCACACUGUACACAUAUACCCCCACACACAAAAUACCACAAUCCCCCACACAAACACACACCACAUACACCAUGCACCAUACAUACCACACACUACACACACACUUCACACUGUACAUAGACACCACAUACACACACAUACCACACACACAAACACACCACACCCCCACAUACACACAAACACAAACCACAUGCACCACACACCACACAAACAUACCACACACUGCACACACCACACAUACCACAUACACACACACGCACACACAUACAACAUACCAUGUACACUACACACUAUAUACCACACAUACAUACCCCACACCACACACACCCACACGAGUGACAUGUGAAUAAGCUCUUGGUCCAUACUGGUGCCAGAUGCCUGGGUGUGACGUGGCGACACCACUGUAUGUGUGGCAUAUAAUGUGGUAUAUAAUAUACCAUGUGGUAUGUUGUCUGUGUGGAUAUGUAUGUGGUAUGUUUGUGCAGUGUGUGGGGUGUGUGUAGUAUGCAGUGUGUUUGUGGUGUGCGGUGUGUGUGUGUAUGUGGGGAUGUGGUGUGUUUGUGUGUGGUAUGUGUUUGUGUAUGUGGUGUGUAUGUACAGUGUGGGGUGUGUGUAGUGUGUAGUAUGUUUGUGUGGUGUGUGUGUGUAUGUGGAGGUGUGGUGUGUUUGUGGGUGUGGUAUGUGUAUGUGGUGUGUAGUGUUUGUGGGUGUGGUAUGUGUAUGUGGUGUGUAUGUAGUGUGGGGUGUGUGUAGUGUGUGGUAUGUUUGGUGUUUGUGUAUGUGGGGGUGGGGUGUGUUCGUGGGUGUGGUAUGUGUAUGUGGUGUGUAUGUAGUGUGGGGUGUGUGUAGUGUGUGGUAUGUUUGGUGUCUGUGUGUGUAUGUGGGGGUGGGGUGUGUUCGUGGGUGUGGUAUGUGUAUGUGGUGUGUGUGUAGUGUGGGGUGUGUGUAGUGUGUGGUAUGUUUGGUGUUUGUGUAUGUGGGGGUGGGGUGUGUUUGUGGGUGUGGUAUGUGUAUGUGGUGUUUAUGUAGUGUGGGGUGUGUGUAGUGUGUGGUAUGUUUGUGUGGUGUGUGGUGUGUGUGAUGUGUGUGUGUGGGAGGGGUGUGGUGUGUUUGUGUGGUGUGUGGUGUAUGUAGUUUGUGUGUGUAUGUGGCAGUGUGGUGUGUUUGUGUGUGGUAUUUGUAUGUGGUAUGUACAGUGUGGGGUGUGUGUAGGUGUGUAGUAUGUUUGUGUGGUGUGUGUAUGUGGGGGUGUGGUGUGUUUGUGUGGUAUGUGUAUGUGGUGUGUAUGUAGUGUGGGGUGUGUGUAGCGUGUGGUAUGUUUGUGUGGUGUGUGUGUGUAUGUGGAGGUGUGGUGUGUUUGUGGGUGUGGUAUGUGUAUGCGGUGUGUAUGUAGUGUGGGGUGUGUGUAGCGUGUGGUAUGUUUGGUGUCUGUGUGUGUAUGUGGGGGUGGGGUGUGUUUGUGGGUGUGGUAUGUGUAUGUGGUGUGUAUGUAGUGUGGGGUGUGUGUAGCGUGUGGUAUGUUUGGUGUCUGUGUGUGUAUGUGGGGGUGGGGUGUGUUCGUGGGUGUGGUAUGUGUAUGUGGUGUGUAUGUAGUGUGGGGUGUGUGUAGUGUGUGGUAUGUUUGGUGUCUGUGUGUGUAUGUGGGGGUGGGGUGUGUUCGUGGGUGUGGUAUGUGUAUGUGGUGUGUGUGUAGUGUGGGGUGUGUGUAGUGUGUGGUAUGUUUGGUGUUUGUGUAUGUGGGGGUGGGGUGUGUUUGUGGGUGUGGUAUGUGUAUGUGGUGUUUAUGUAGUGUGGGGUGUGUGUAGUGUGUGGUAUGUUUGUGUGGUGUGUGGUGUGUGUGAUGUGUGUGUGUGGGAGGGGUGUGGUGUGUUUGUGUGGUGUGUGGUGUAUGUAGUUUGUGUGUGUAUGUGGCAGUGUGGUGUGUUUGUGUGUGGUAUUUGUAUGUGGUAUGUACAGUGUGGGGUGUGUGUAGGUGUGUAGUAUGUUUGUGUGGUGUGUGUAUGUGGGGGUGUGGUGUGUUUGUGUGGUAUGUGUAUGUGGUGUGUAUGUAGUGUGGGGUGUGUGUAGCGUGUGGUAUGUUUGUGUGGUGUGUGUGUGUAUGUGGAGGUGUGGUGUGUUUGUGGGUGUGGUAUGUGUAUGCGGUGUGUAUGUAGUGUGGGGUGUGUGUAGCGUGUGGUAUGUUUGGUGUCUGUGUGUGUAUGUGGGGGUGGGGUGUGUUUGUGGGUGUGGUAUGUGUAUGUGGUGUGUAUGUAGUGUGGGGUGUGUGUAGCGUGUGGUAUGUUUGGUGUCUGUGUGUGUAUGUGGGGGUGGGGUGUGUUCGUGGGUGUGGUAUGUGUAUGUGGUGUGUAUGUAGUGUGGGGUGUGUGUAGUGUGUGGUAUGUUUGGUGUCUGUGUGUGUAUGUGGGGGUGGGGUGUGUUUGUGGGUGUGUGUAUGUGGUGUGUAUGUAGUGUGGGGUGUGUGUAGCGUGUGGUAUGUUUGUGUGGUGUGUGUGUGUAUGUGGGGGUGGGGUGUUUUCGUGGGUGUGGUAUGUGUAUGUGGUGUGUAUGUAGUGUGGGGUGUGUGUAGCGUGUGGUAUGUUUGUGUGGUGUGUGUGUGUAUGUGGGGGUGGGGUGUUUUCGUGGGUGUGGUAUGUGUAUGUGGUGUGUAUGUAGUGUGGGGUGUGUGUAGUGUGUGGUAUGUUUGGUGCCUGUGUGUGUAUGUGGGGGUGGGGUGUGUUUGUGGGUGUGGUAUGUGUGGAAACUGGGUGAAAGGCACAUGGGACAUCUCUGUGUUGUUUUUGCAACUUCCCGUGCGUCUGCGAUUGUUUCGGAAGCACACAUUUUAAAGCAAGAAUCCGCCGCUGACAGCUCCCCCGGCGGCUGACCCAUUUCUCUGCGUCCUCCUCGCUGAAACCCAGCCGUCUGCUGCCCGAAGCCCCACAGCUCCCUCGGGGCUGCACGGGGCCAACGUGCCGAGCCUCUCUUGUCCCCAGGCAGCCUGUUCUGAGGGGCUCACCCACAGCCAGACAGCAUUCAUGGCUGCGCUGAGCACGGGCCAGGGAGAGGCCCCGGGGUGGCUGUCCGUCGCGUCGGCGGCGCAAGUGGAAUUGGGAUGCAUUCGAGUCUGUAACUUCUGAAACCUGAACAACCUCAGGAGGCCCCCACCUCUGCCCUCCACCAGCGUCGAGAGAAGGGACAGCAGUGACAUCGGACAGAAGACUCGGGCUCCCGUCCUCCCCCAGGACGGUCCCCACAUAGGAAGGGCACUCCCAGCCCUCUUGCUGGUGACAUUGUCAUGGUCAUCUUGUCUCUGUUUGGAUUUUUCUUCUGGGUCUUAUGUUUGGGGGGAGGUUUAUUCUUUCUGAAAAUGUCUAGAUUCAGGAACACAUUUAUGAGGAUUUGGAUUUUGAAUUUGUAUUUCCCUCUAAGUGCCUUUUUUAAUGUCUAUUUUUUUAAUAAAACAGAAAUGCAUUCUUGUACAAUUCUGUUGAAACUGGACCAAGGCUCUCAGAAGAGGACCCCCGAGUUCCUUCCCCUCCCCCGAGCCUCUGCAUGAUUGUUUCAAGUCAGCCUGGAAUUCUUACUUUCACGCCGCUAUUCUUUUCCUUUCUCCGUGAUUGCUUGGCUAGCCAUUUAAAAAAAAUAUUCUCUGUUCAGUGUA